AUGCCCUGUGAUUAUACAAAGACGCGUUAUUCUGAGGAACACACCUGCUACUGGUCUUUCCUCUACUGUCUACUCUGCCUUUAAUCUCCGCCAUCUUUCCUUUCCUCCCUUCACUUGUUCUACUCUUUUGGUCAAACUGGUAGCAGGUCCGCUGACUGCGAUUAUGAGAUAUGAGGGCAU
Molecule: small nucleolar RNA, 180 nt
Filed under: Stegastes partitus (bicolor damselfish)
Lineage: Eukaryota; Metazoa; Chordata; Actinopteri; Pomacentridae
Description: Small nucleolar RNA SNORD97 (ENSSPAG00000012131.1)
Rfam family: Small nucleolar RNA SNORD97
Source: Rfam by way of RNAcentral